CUUCUGUUUUGGCAUAAUGUAUCGUCUAAUGUGGAUUUCGAUGGGAUAGUAGAAAAAGAAUAAACAAAGUUAAUUUACCUGAGAAGAGAACCAUCAAAGCCAUGCAAGAAGAGACUAAUUGAUUGGACAUGGUGAGAGACUUUAUUUAUCUAUGUAUAACCUUCUUUACGAUGUAUGUAAUAUAUGUUUUUUUAUGCCAAAAAAAAAAAAAAAUAUAUGUUUUUUUGUCCCAUACAAAUACUAUUAUAUACAACAUUUUAGUCAACCCACACUGUGGUGGUCAAAUGAAUAGAUAGAAAUUAUAACAUAUGAUAAGAUAUUAUACCAUAUAUUAUAAAUGCAUUGACUCUUACGCAUCAUUUGUUGCCAGAUAAUUUCAUGCUGAAUCUAAAAGUAUUGUAAAAUAAAAUGGGUUGUCAUGAUAUUCUCCCCCCCCCCCCCCCCCCCCUUUUACUUUCAUGGAAGACUUCCCCAAACUAAAUAAUCCAACCUAAUUCUGCAUAUCUAAUAAAAUCAGUAGAACAUGUUUUAUACUCUUAACAGCGUUUAAGAAACUGCUAAAGCAUAAGACCAUGCUUCUUCCUCUUAUUUUGUAUGUGUAAGUCCGCAUAUGCUUUUGUAACAUGUGUACACUAUUUAUCAGUCAUGUACGAGACUAGAGUACGAGAGAGACCAUGUUCUAUAUUUACUAACUGUGUUUGUUAAUGGUCAAACCCUUUUCUUAUAAUCAAAACCAUUUUCUUGUAUCUUGAUUACACCAACAUGUAAUUAUCAAGUAAAGGAGACCAAGCAUGAGCUUUCUCAUUAGAUUGGAGUUUGAAGAUUUUUGAGUAACCAUCAUGCGAUAGAAUCUCAAUACUAAUUACCAAGAAUACUUUCGACUUAAUUAUAGCUAAUAGCUCUCACUAAGGAAGAUGAUUCGUUCUGCUAAUUUCUCUAUAGAAGCCAGACCAACAAGAGAACACUAAUUAACUUGGUUAUACGUUCAUUCAAAUGUGAAUAUUUAAAAACACUUAAAACUGUCAACAUAAAGCAGAGAGUUGGUGCAGAGAAAGUUAGAGAGAAAAAGUUAGAGAGAAAUUUUGGGGUUCCGGCGGUCGGUCGGCGCGUGAGCGUCCGUGCCGCCGCCGGAGUCUUUUCCUCCUUCAGAAUAAAUCACCAGUCUUUGUCUCCUUCUCUCCUUCUCCGGUUUCUGUCUGUCGGAGCUCUGGUCACCCAACAAUCGCCGGUGGUUGUGGUUCUGGAGUCACGACGCGGUUGCGGGAAGGAGGGGAUGGUUUAGUUGAGUUUUCGGUUUCCGGGAGACGGAGGCUCUCACAGAUCCGUCAUCGCCGGACUUUGCAUCCGCGGCGGGGAAGCUUCCUUAGUUCCGCCGUCGUCGGCUCUAGUCCCCGGGGGGUGAAGGCUUUCACAGCUUCGCGUCGCCGGAUCUCGUCCCCUUGUCCUUUUGGGUUUCGUCCUUUUAGUUUAAUUUUUUCUCUUCGCUUAGUUUUAGGUUUUUUUGUGUUUUUGCCGGAGGAGAGUGAGGCUCUCCGGUGGAAUCGGUUCAAGUUGCAUGCGUUAAUUUCUUUGGGUGGUUGCGGUGAACUGUGUUGGGGGAGCUCUCGCCAUGGCGAUCGAUGCUCUCCGGUUUCAGAGGCCCAAAGAGGUUUGAAGUGAGGUUUGGCGGAGCUGCAGUGCUCCGUUUUGGUCGAGAGAUCCGAAGGCUGGAUCUCCGACGAAGAUGAGAGGUGGUGGAGAUGAGGCGUCCGUGUGACACGUGCCCCUCGUCGUCGAGGAUGGCAACACGUGUCCGUGCUUCGGAAAAGCUGGACAUUCGACGCGGCUGCUCUCUUUCCUGUAGGGAGAUUAGGGUUUCUCUUGUUGGGCCGGAAGGUUAUGGGCCCUUUUGGUUAUCGGGUUUAGUUGUAGUAUGGGCUUUUAUUGUAAUGAUUCUGGGCUUGGCCCAUAUCCUUUAAUAUAUAAAAUCAUAUUGACGG
Brassica rapa (field mustard) is the source of this 1979-nucleotide long non-coding RNA. RefSeq lists it as uncharacterized. Lineage: Eukaryota; Viridiplantae; Streptophyta; Magnoliopsida; Brassicales; Brassicaceae. The record is from RefSeq and is a predicted model, not a curated record.